AACGUAGGAGGCGAGCGUUAUCCGGAUUCACUGGGCGUAAAGGGCAAGUAGGCGGUUUGUCGCGUCUGCCGUGAAAGUCCGGGGCUCAACUCCGGAUCUGCGGUGGGUACGGGCAGACUAGAGUGAUGUAGGGGAGACUGGAAUUCCUGGUGUAGCGGUGAAAUGCGCAGAUAUCAGGAGGAACACCGAUGGCGAAGGCAGGUCUCUGGGCAUUAACUGACGCUGAGGAGCGAAAGCAUGGGGAGCGAACAGG
This 253-nucleotide ribosomal RNA is filed under the name uncultured microorganism. Its description in RNAcentral is "partial 16S ribosomal RNA". It matches the Rfam family "Bacterial small subunit ribosomal RNA", at positions 524 to 776 of the family's 1533-position model. The record is from RNAcentral.